Molecule: long non-coding RNA, 430 nt
Organism: Prionailurus viverrinus (fishing cat)
Lineage: Eukaryota; Metazoa; Chordata; Mammalia; Carnivora; Felidae
Exons: 3
Source: RefSeq, a predicted model, not a curated record
AGAGAGGUCAAGGGCCCCCUUAGCUCUGGAAACAGCCCGAAGCCAAAAGCCAAGAGAGAGAAGGAAGAAUCCAGAGAAGAGAGACACAGAGAGGCCACGGUGGCAGCAGAGAGAACGCAUCUAUCCUGGCAAACACAACUCACUGCCACCACUAACAGCUGCCCCAGCCUCCCAGCUCCUCUGCCCACGGCACCUGGCGCUUACCAAGGAGAGAAGCUGAGAGAGAAGGUCCCAAACAGGAGGGAGGACAGACAGAGAGGGUGAAAUGGAAGAAAAGGAGAGAGAAUGAAAGGCCAUCGGCACCCUGCACAGCAACAGAUUCCUGUCCGCCAAACAGGAGCUCCCUGAGGACUGUAGCCAGAACGCAGCACCGGGCACAUAGAAGGUGCUAGAUAAAUAUUUGCUGAAUAAGGAAUCUGUAAAGAAGAGA